This 496-nucleotide ribosomal RNA is filed under the name uncultured bacterium. RNAcentral's name for it is "partial 16S ribosomal RNA". It matches the Rfam family "Bacterial small subunit ribosomal RNA", at positions 28 to 506 of the family's 1533-position model. The record is from RNAcentral.
GAUGAACGCUGGCGGCGUGCCUAAUACACGCAAGUCGAGCGAACAGACGAGGAGCUUGCUCCUCUGACGUUAGCGGCGGACGGGUGAGUAACACGUGGAUAACCUACCUAUAAGACUGGGAUAACUUCGGGAAACCGGAGCUAAUACCGGAUAAUAUAUUGAACCGCAUGGUUCAAUAGUGAAAGACGGUUUUGCUGUCACUUAUAGAUGGAUCCGCGCCGCAUUAGCUAGUUGGUAAGGUAACGGCUUACCAAGGUAACGAUGCGUAGCCGACCUGAGAGGGGGAUCGGCCACACUGUAACUGAGACACGGUCCAGACUCCUACGGGAGGCAGCAGUAGGGAAUCUGCCGCAAUGGGCGAUAGCCUGACGGAGCAACGCCGCGUGAGUGAUGAAGGUCUUCGGAUCGUAAAACUCUGUUAUUAGGGAAGAACAAAUGUGUAAGUAACUAUGCACGUCUUGACGGUACCUAAUCAGAAAGCCGCGGCUAACUACGU